UACGUAGGGGGCAAGCGUUGUCCGGAUUUAUUGGGCGUAAAGAGCUCGUAGGCGGCUCGGUAAGUCGGAUGUGAAACCUCCAGGCUCAACCUGGAGACGCCAUCUGAUACUGCCGUGGCUUGAGUCCGGUAGAGGAGCAGGGAAUUCCUGGUGUAGCGGUGAAAUGCGCAGAUAUCAGGAAGAACACCCGUGGCGAAGGCGGCUCUCUGGGACGGUACUGACGCUGAGACGCGAAAGCGUGGGGAGCGAACAGG
Molecule: ribosomal RNA, 254 nt
Filed under: uncultured bacterium
Lineage: Bacteria
Description: partial 16S ribosomal RNA
Rfam family: Bacterial small subunit ribosomal RNA
Source: RNAcentral